AAUAACGCCAUGAUUAGUGUGGUUUGGUGUGGUUUAAUAUCGGAUCUAACAUGAAUUUCAUCACGUCAUUUCUUUAGUUGAACAAAUGUUUGCUAGUAACCCGGGUAGCAUCACAUUAAUGUAUACAAGAACAAGAAGACAAGGGUUAAAAUAUAGAAUAAUAUUGUAUUGUAUAGUUUGUAUAGUUGUUGUGUGUACUGAGUUGAUCACUGCUCCAAGUGCACAGUUUAAAUCAAGGGCACAGCUGCUGUGAUAAACAUGUCUUAAAUUUUCCAUGAUGUCAUUUUUAAGGGGAAAAGAGUUUAGAGCUUAAAGGCUUCUGUUAAGACACAUUCAAUCCCUUAUACCUAACUUAUAUUUAUAUUCACUUUUACAGUCGUUGACAGGGACUUUUAUCCAGAGUGACUUGCCACUGGAGAGCUAUAAAACACAACAAUACCAAAAAAAGGUUUCGUUACAUAUUGAUAUCAUAUAUUCCAAGGAAAAAAGGACAUGGGCCAAGGCGACAAGAGUUCCCCAAGACUGAGGGCAAUUAAAAAUAUUCAUAUUUUUAUUUACAAAAUGGUUUUCAUGAGAGUGAUUUUUUGGGUGUACGUAUUAAAUAAACAGUGCAGUUAUUGUUUGCCUUAUCUUAUAGCAGCAUGUGGGAUGGUGAACUCUGAAAUGGAGGUGAACUUUGAUCAGCUGAUCACCACUUCUGUGUGUGUGUGUGUGUGUGUGUGUGUGUGUGUGUGUGUGUGUGUAUGUGUGUGUGUGUGUGUGUGUGUGUGUGUGGCUCCUGCUAAAUGCUGUGCAUAACCAAAACUGAAAGUAGUGGUUGAGUCCAUUAGCCGUCUUUAGGGACAGUCUCAAGGAAACGAGGAGCACAAACAACCACAACGAUUCUGAAAGGCUCGUUAUCAGUCUUCCUCCAGAAUGCUUCAAGGAACAAAAACACGCCUUUUCUCAAUCAAUGAAAGUAGGAAAUUCUUGGAUGUCCAAAGUAAGAUUGAGGAACGGUUGAAGAAACGCGUUCAGCUCCAUCAAGUGGAUUCAGAGGAUUAUUGUGAUGUCAUCAUGGCUUUUGUACCCAUUGUGUCCCGGGCUGGAACAGACAUUGAAGCUGCUCUUCGAAAUAUUCCAACAAAUCAGCCUGUCAUCCUCGUGGUGCUCCACCACACGUUUGAUGAAAAUCACAUUGCACCACAGAGCAAAAGGUGUGUGGAUAGGGAUGGUGUAUUUGCUGUAGACUUCCUCUGUCAUGAAGAUAAGGGACUGCUGGAAUGCUUGACCAAUGAGGAGGCACUGAAAUCCGUCAGUGAUUAUCUGGUCUCUAUGGGCCCCAGUACCCCGCUUAUACCAGUUCAUCCACGGCCAUCCCAAAGACGUUGCAUCUAUUUGGGUGUCUCUGCUUUUGUUGUUGUUGUUGUUGUUGUUAUUGGGCUAGUUAUUCCCUUUCUCAUUCCGAAAAGUGACGGACAUGGUGACACUCAAACUACGGUGAUACCUCCUAUAACUGUAACUACACAUCAGUCUAACAUAACUGUAACUACACAUCAGCGUAACAUAACUGAAACUACACAGCAGUCUAAGAUAACUGUAGCUACACAGCAGCGUAAGAAACGAUCCCUUCAGAGAGGCCGAGGCUAAUUCAUUAGUUUGGUGAACACCCAAGACUGUUGUGUUCGUGAUGAAAAGAUGGAGAUGAAACGAGAGUUUAGGAUUUCAGCUUUUAUUUCCUGGUGUUUACAUCUAGACGUGUUAAACAUAAAACAUACAACCUUUUGUAUCAGACCACCCACUUUUUAGGUGAGCAAAAGUAUAGGAACAGAUCAGUCUUGAAGUAAAUGAAAGUAAAUAACACUUAACAUUUGGCUGCGUGUCCCUUGCUUGCAAAAACUCAUCAAACUGCAUCAAUCCUGUGACUCACUGACACUUGUGUUGCUUUUCCAGGUAUUUACUGCAGCUUCUUUCAGUAGUUGUGUGUUUCGGUGGUUUCUCCCUUCAGUCUCCUCUUCAGGAGGUGAGGUGCUGAUCAGUUGGGUGAAGGUCUGGUGAUGGACUUGUCCAGUCUAAAACCUUCCACUUUCCCCCUGAUGAAGUCCUGUGUUGAGGUGGAAGUGUGUUUUGGAUCGUUGUCUUGCUGCAUGAUGAAGUUCCUCUGAUUCAUUCGGAUGGAUUUCUCUGUAAAUCUGCAGACAGAAUGUUCCUGUACAGUUCUGAAUUCAUUCUGCUGCUCCAUCAUGAGUUCAUCAAUAAAGAUUAGUGAGAAUGUUCCAAAAGCAGCCGUGCAAGCCCAAGCCAUGACACUACCUCCACCAUGUUCCACAGAUCAGCUUGUAUGUUCUGGAUCAUGAGCAGAUCCUUUCUUUCUCCACACUUUGGUCUUUCCAUCACUUUGGUAGAGGUUCGUCUUGUUCCAGAACUUUUGUGGAUCAUCUCUGUAUUUCUUUGCCAAUUCCAAUUUGACUUUCUGACUCGUACUGCUGAUGACUGGUUUGCAUCUUGUGGUACGGCCUCGAUAUUUCUGCUCUCGAAGACUUCUUCAAACGGUGGCUUGUGAUGCCUUCAAUUCUGCCCUGUGGAGCUUGUUGGUGAUGUCACUGACAGUUGUUGUUGGGUUUUUCUUCACAGCUCUCUGUCAUCACCUGCUGUUGUUUUCCUUGACUGACCCGUUCAGUGUCUGUUUCUCAGUACACCAGCGGUUUCUUUCAUUUUCAUGACAUUCCAAAUUGUUGUAUUGGCUUUACCCAGUGUUUCUGCAAAGGCUUUGAUUGAUUUUCCCUCUUUCCCCGCUUUAAAAUGGCUCGCUUUUCUCCCCUAGACAGCUCUCCGAUCUUCAUGUUGGCUUAUCCUUUAUAACAACAUAUGCAGUCUUCACAGGUGAAACUGAAGAGUAGAUGUUCAGAGCUAUUUAUUGUUUAAACAGUCGAUCUAACAGGACACGCCUGGGGAACAAGAAACACCCGUCAGUCACGUGUUCCAAUGUUUUUGCUCCCUUACAAAUUGGGUGGUCUGAUACAAACUGUGCUGUUCUGUAUCUAUAUAUAAAUACCAGGAAAUAAAAGCUGAAAUUCUAAACUCUCUUCUCAUAUUGCUCUUUUAAUAUCAAAAACAAAUGUCUUCACUCAACAGUGAAAACAAUUUAAUUGGCCUUGCCGUCCCAAUAUUUUUGCAGGGGGACUGUAACUGUGACUAUAUAGCAGCUUAAUAUAAUGGUAAUAAACAUUAACUUAACAUACUGGCGAAUAAACAGCAGCCUAAUAUAACUCUAAUUAUACAGCAGCCUGACAUAGUGGCAACGAAAUAGCAACGUAAUCUAACUAUAACUGCACAACAAACAUAAAAUAAACACUAAUCUUUCUUCUAAAUACUUUUUAAAAUUUCAUCAAUUCUUUUGAAUCAGCUUCAUUUUCAUUACAGUUAGAACUUUUCCUUUCAAACCUUAUGAGUAUUUUGACAUCAAUCAUUCUGCAAUCAUCCUAACAUAUACUUUAUAUACAUAUAAAGGAUUCUUUGAUUAAUAAAGGUUUCAUGUAGAACCUUACAACAGAGAUUUUCUGUUUCUGAGAGGGUUCUAGGUUGAACCACUGUUAGGGUGUAGUAAAUGAAGAAUUGCUUACACAAAACUAGUAUGACUUGAUAUUACCUUGUAAUUGUUCAUAAGUUUAAGAUUACCUCCACUAUAUUUAAUGUUACUCCACUAUAUUUUGUAGUUUCUAUAUUUAAUGCUUAUUAAAUGCACAGAACAUUAAAAUCGGAAACGAAGUCUGACAAGAAUGUAACAGAAUAUAACAAGACUGAAUCUGUGUGUAAAGACUUCAUGAAUGUUUGUUUCUAAUCAAUAAAAUUCUCAUACGCUUAUGCUAAAUGGUAAUGUGAUG
Molecule: long non-coding RNA, 3863 nt
Organism: Ictalurus punctatus (channel catfish)
Lineage: Eukaryota; Metazoa; Chordata; Actinopteri; Siluriformes; Ictaluridae
Source: Ensembl